Molecule: transfer RNA, 66 nt
Filed under: Iassus lateralis
Lineage: Eukaryota; Metazoa; Arthropoda; Insecta; Hemiptera; Cicadellidae
Description: tRNA-Leu
Source: RNAcentral
UUUAAUAUGGCAGAUUAGUGCCAUGAAAUUAAGAUUCAUAUAUAAAUAUAAAUUAUUUUAUUAAAA